GAUCAUGGCUCAGAUUGAACGCUGGCGGCAGGCUUAACACAUGCAAGUCAAACGGUAACAUGAAGAAGCUUGCUUCUUUGAUGACGAGUGGCGGACGGGUGAGUAAUGCUUGGGAAUCUAGCUUAUGGAGGGGGAUAACUACGGGAAACUGUAGCUAAUACCGCGUAGAAUCGAGAGAUGAAAGUGUGGGACCUUCGGGCCACAUGCCAUAGGAUGAGCCCAAGUGGGAUUAGGUAG
Molecule: ribosomal RNA, 237 nt
Filed under: uncultured bacterium
Lineage: Bacteria
Description: partial 16S ribosomal RNA
Rfam family: Bacterial small subunit ribosomal RNA
Source: RNAcentral